This 253-nucleotide ribosomal RNA is filed under the name uncultured bacterium. Its description in RNAcentral is "partial 16S ribosomal RNA". It matches the Rfam family "Bacterial small subunit ribosomal RNA", at positions 524 to 776 of the family's 1533-position model. The record is from RNAcentral.
UACAGAGGUCUCAAGCGUUGUUCGGAUUCAUUGGGCGUAAAGGGUGUGUAGGUGGCGCGCUAAGUCGGGUGUGAAAUUUCGGAGCUUAACUCCGAAACUGCAUUCGAUACUGCCGUGCUUGAGGACUGGAGAGGAGACUGGAAUUUACGGUGUAGCGGUGAAAUGCGUAGAUAUCGUAAGGAAGACCAGUGGCGAAGGCGGGUCUCUGGACAGUCCCUGACGCUGAGGCACGAAGGCCAGGGGAGCAAACGGG